RNAcentral lists this long non-coding RNA (6120 nucleotides) under Cricetulus griseus (Chinese hamster). RNAcentral's name for it is "lncRNA (ENSCGRG00015031988.1)". The record is from RNAcentral. Lineage: Eukaryota; Metazoa; Chordata; Mammalia; Rodentia; Cricetidae.
GUUGUUAUGACAGAACAAGGCUAGCACUUCCUUAGUCUCUUUGGCUUCCUCUUUCACUCUGUGAUUUCCUGUUCUGAUGCCAUCUGCUAGGAGGCCCUCAAAAAAGGCCAAAUACAUGGAUCAGCUAGAACCAGGACUUUCAGCUUCCAGAGCUGAGCUGAACAAACCUCUUUCUUUACAAGUUUCUCAGCUUCAGGAUUGAUGCAAAGGCAAAGGAAGGAAAGUCGAGCUGAUCUGGAAGUCCAAACAGAGAGUAGGAGAGAGAACAAGGAAGAGUUAGUUUAAUGGGACCUGACUUGUCACCUCUGCUUGGUGAAAUCCUCACCUUCUUCACGUUCCAUUUGAUGACAUUUCCUUCUGAAUCCUUCUUCGAAUGUCUCAGGCAAAAGUUAAGGGUAUCCAGCCAUUCCAUGUGCUCAAAGUUGUCCCAGUGGGGUCACUGAAAGUUCUGUAAUCCAGAAAACCCCUCGGUUCAAGACAGUCACCUACCUGCCUGUGUGCUACAUGCACAGCUAGCCUGCUGCUUUAAUGGAGGCCACAUCCACCUCUACCUAAAGCCCCUCCCUCUGUUUGGCAUUUCCUCUACUCACUCAAAAUAGGCCCUUGAAAUUCCCCCACCUCCCUGCAUCUCCAAUCUUUUCCUCUCUCCAUUAACAUUCAAAUAGUCCACUUUUCCCAUUGAAAACAAAAACAAAACUAAACAAACAAACAAACAAACAAAACUAAAAAACAAUCACAGGGCUGAGAUUGUAGCUCAACAAGACAGAACUUAGCUAGCAUGUGUGCGGCUCUGGGGAGAUCUCCAGAACAGCAAACAAAUAAAUAUCAAUAAAGAGGUCUCAGACUAACAUCUUCCUCAAGCUACCACCCAUUUUCUUGGAUCUCCUUUAUAAUAAAACCCCUUGAAUGGAUUGUUUACAUACAGUUUCCAAUUUUAUUUUUCUCUCUUACUAUUUUCUAUUGAACCAUUUCUAUCAGUUUUUCUUGUCCCCAGCUCUCCAUAGAGAAAAAUCCAGUCACAGUUUGCCAAUGAUCUGGAAUUUUCUCAGACUGUCGAAUAGUGAGAAACAAAUUUCUAUUGUAUUUAGCAUUGUAUUUGGUUAUAUUUUUUUAAUCACAAAAAUUUGUCCCAGCUUAUGUGAUGGAGAUAAUAACUUCCAUAUUCAUAUGUCCAGUUUGCAUACUUCCCUGGCAGUUUAUAUAUGUCUAUUCAAUGGUCUAGAACACAACCAACUAAAUAUGUAAUAAGUGUCUCAAACAUAGCAUAUCAAUACUAAACUUUUAAUUUCCUUCCCCAAGAAGCAACUCGCUUGUCAGAAAAUAUCCCUCCUUUUGUUGCUCUUAUGCCUUAGAGCUAUCUAUCCAGCCAUGACUCCUAUCCAUCCCAUUCACUUUAGCAAGAAUGGCUGCCAUCUUCUAGGCUGUGUUAGCUUCCUACUACUCCAGCUGUUUCUGAAUAUGGAGGCAGACAGUCCCAAGAACAGAGGUCAAUGUCAGUCAUUUUUCUACACAAAUCCUCCUCUUGUGGCUUCUCAUGUCAUCAUCAUGAAUUGAGAACCCAGGACAUAGAAUAUAUCUGGUAAAUACUCUCUUUGGUAAAAAUGGUGCGCCCUUAUUUUCACUUGCAAAGCCUAAUAAUGGCCUUUUCUGUCACCUGUCUGGUAGGUACCCAUUCACUAUACUCCUCUUUCUCCUCACAGACUCCUGGCCUCCUUAUUCUUCUACACACACACACACACACACACACACACACACACACACACACACGCGCGCGCGCGCGCGCGCGUGCGCGCGCGCGCUCGAGUGCGUGCACAUACACACAGACCUCCACCACUACCCAAACCUUACCCAACUCCAGGCUGCAGCCUGUAAGCUAGCAAACCCCACUCAGAGGCUCUCCUUUAGAAUCUAGAGUCUAGAUCCUCUCAUGACUCACUCCCGUUCUUAUCAGGCUCCCCUCAAGUUUUAACUCUGCUUUGAAACAUUUCUCUACUGUUCUUCCAUGUGUGGACACUGCAGUGGGAAUAUGAAGAUGAGACCAAAUGGCUUCCUCCCUCAAGAAACUGUUAGAUCAAAUUGGAGAAUGGCCUUCCUGGAAAGUUUCCUAGAAGAGGGGCCCAUGAACUGAACCUUCAAAAAAGAAAAAGAAAAAGAAAAAAUAGAGUUAAGAGAGAGAAAGGGAGGGGUGAUAAGAAGAGCCUUUUAGGGAGCUGGCAUGUAUGUGGGUAGAGUUCAGAGGCUGCCUGAUCGGUCUUAUCAGUCUCCAGAGCCUGCUCUUGUGCUCUGAUAUGAACCUUGGGAACAGCUUGGUGACAUGCAUGGGUGGAAAAACUGACCAGUCACAACGAUGAUACAGACAAGGAAGUCCAAAACAGAGACAUGAAAGCUGCAGAGCACUGUCAAUGACAAAAGGGGACUCUCAGACAGGUACUUCAAAGAGGGUAGAAAAGCCAGAGAUGAUUCAUCCUGUAAGAAAAGACCAGAACAGGAUUCCUCAGACAGCAAGGCUCAGGGAUGCAGAUCUGUUAAUACCAACCUUCACUGGUCUCCAGAGUAUCAUUUCUCUUGGGAUCCAUCCCCUUGCAAUUUCUCUCACUUGAAUCUCGGCUGGGUCUAUUACUUGCUUUGACCCACUGGUUCUCAACCACAGAAGAAUCCGCCACCCCACCCUGAGAACAUUUACAAUGUUUGGAAACAAUGGGGCAUGCUGUGUGGGAGUGCUGUUCUAGCAAUUUCCAUGAUACUAACAGAUAGAGUCUGGGAUGUUGCCACACAGUGCACAGCUCCUCACAGCAAAGACUCACCUGGCCCGCAAUGUCAAGUGUGCUGAGACCAAGAAGCAAACAGAGCACAGCCUAAUCUUUUAUCUUAGCACGAACUAAACAUUAAGAUGACCUAAGACCACCAAGUGUUGCCAAAAUGCUCUACGCCCUGGGCUCAAAACAAAAUCUGACAACAAUGAAACCAGAAAAGUUUCAAAGUUUUCUCUCUUGGAAGUAGAGUACCCAGACGUUAUGUAUUCCAGUUCAGAGAUUCAUGGAGACAUCACAGGAGAGGUCAUAUGAAAAGGACAGAAUUCUAAGGAAGGCUCCAUGGAGACCAAAUAAGACUCCAAGGAAGAGAAUGCCAUAACAAGAAAAGUAAGGCCCCAGAUGUUCGGUGUCAGAUAAGCUCCUCCAGGAAGCCUCCAUCUGAGCUGUCUUGGCUAAAGUAGCUGGCCUGUGAGCUAAGAAGUUUUCACGGAUACGUUAGCAUUACACUUAAGGAACAGAGGCACUGUUGUUACUUAGCCCUGUUCAAUUGAUUCACAAGCAAAUAAAUAAGAUGUUGAUUUAAAAAUCAAGUCUUAGAAUGAUUUGUCACACCUUAACUGGUAAAAUAAUAACUAAAAACAGCAUUGAUAGUGUUCUAAGUACUUCUUAACUACAAUGUGUAAGAUGGAACCUGCUAUGUCCAAUGCAUCUUAGCCAUGAGAAAAUCUAAGCAUAUUAGUACAGGGAAGUUAAGUUCCCACACAAUGUUAGCACAUCUUGGGAAUAGAGAUGGGCAUUAACUCCAAAGGCUGCAUGUGCACCAUCAAGCUCUAUAAACCAUAGUCACACAUCCAUUCACUUGACAUUUAUGGAGAAUCUACCAUGUGCCAGGUAUUAUUGUUCUGUAUCAAAGAGUACUAGGGAUCUGAACAAAAAAAUUCCUGGGUUCAUGGAACUUCUACUGAAGUCUGAGAAGCUACAGAGGUGUACCAUUGGGUGGAAAGACUCCGCCCUUCCGUGUGGUAUGGUGGACAUUGAUUAGUGUUCUGUCAGCCAUGUAGUUAAGCACACUCACUUACACCAGGAAAUUAUCCAUUUUGUUAUAUGGAGUCCUUGAAGAAUGUUACUAGAGGUGACCAACUCUGCUAGCCAUGCCAGCUCAAGUGACUUUAUUGUGGUAUUUGUCCCUUCAGAAUACUAGCAAAAAGAUUGAAAAUGGUUGGGGUUCCGAUCCAGCCGGGGCUCCCAGAUAAAACUAUUGAGAGAUUAGUGCUACACAGACCCUGAUUUCUAAUGUGCAGAGAGACAUUAUUCUACAAAUUCAUUGCUGAUUCUGUGAGCUAGCAGAUACCCUCCUAGUAAAUUCCUGUACUGAACUAGGAAGGGACAGGCUCUGAGGUUUGUGAUGAAAGGGCUCCAAAUCUGGAGUUCCGGAGAAGGUCUCUGGGCUGAAGGGGAGGAACUGCUGAGAACCAAAUAAACGACAAUGGUGUCCUAACCUGAUCAAUCGCUCGAAGCUUCAACUUCAGCAUCUAAAUCUCAACAACUGGUAUUUUCUCCAUCUUUUGAAAAAUCGUAAAGCCAAGCUCCUCCAUGCUUCCUUCCUGAAACUGUAUUACCUCAGGAAGAGCUCUGAGCAGAGCUAUUCUGAAGCCAACACCAAAAGCUAUUUUCAUAGCAGAGACUGAGGUAUGGCACAGGCUAACUAAAUGGAGCUAAAACCAAACUGUGGAGAGGUCAGGAUCAGGACUGCGCCUGGCAUCAGAACCAGACCAGCAGCAUGCAGACAAGAAAAACCAGAUUCCUAGGCCCCAUACGGACUCACCUAAUCCAAACCUCUAUGGCAGGAACCAGGGAUUUUCAUUUCCACACACUAACCAGUGAUUGUGAGACCCUAAAUCCGAUAGUCAGGGUUUUUGGUCUGGAACAUAGCCCCAUAGAAUGCUGUCUAGUUCAGUAUGUGAAUGCGUGGCCUCACUACAAGACAGAUUCUGAUUCAGAAGGCUUAAAGUGGAGCUAGAAAGUCUCCCUUUCUAACUCCUCAGAGGAUGACUGUAGAUGGGUCACAGGGUCUGGGUGAAGCUUAGCUGGAAGCUGGCAUCAGAAGGCAGGGAGGCAGCAAGAGAAGCCAAAAGCACAGCUUCUUGCACCUUGGCAAACAGACAGAAUGCGGCCUCAGAGCCUGCAGAGGCAACAGCUAGACUUCACUACAGCACUGUUGCCACCCUCCUGGAUUAACCUGUGUGUCUCAUAAGCAGUUACAAGACCUGAUCCAUUAAUUAUGUCCUGAAAUAGCUCCUCCGCUUCGCCCCAGUCUCUCCCAUUCCUCCUUCAGCAUCUUAAGAUGAAACAAAGACAAAGAGGUGAUCCUGAAGUUCAAUCUCAUGCAAUUAAGUGCUUUGUUCUUAAUUAGAGUGUAAAGUUCUCUUUUUGUAGGCCAUUGAAUCAGUGAUAAUCAGUUUUGUGUUUACUGUUCUCAUAAAAGCUACUUCAUAUUGUGAAAACAAAAGCGCCUAAAAAGCUGACAUAGAUUCCAAAUGAUGUAUUCGACAGAAUCAAAUUGUUCUGAAGCACUUGUGCAUAUUUGAUUGCCAGACCUGGUCCUUCCCUUUCCGCUCAUGGAAGCAUUCAAUAGUAAUUACUACUCAGGUAUUAUGCUGAGACCUGGCCCGUGUUACUGGCAGCAGAUGGUCCCAAAGGCCUCAUUCAGAAACUUGGAAAUUGAGCCUUUGCAUGGAGUUUAAUCAAAAACUUAGGAUCCACUCCAUUGUUGGAUUUGCUUAUUUAAUGGAAGACUAUGUGCAAAUCCCUUUUCUGAUUUCUCUGGAGGAAACCCAGAAAUGAAGGUAGAGUUCCAGAUGGUAAGAAAUAAACAACAGGUGGUCUGGGGUUUGCUCACAAUUCGAGUCACAUGAAAAAUGGAAGUGGGUUUGUUCUGUGAGUCAUUUGCAUUCCAGAUUUCAAUAUAUACCACUCAACAUAAAGUAGGUUUGAACUGUAUAUACAUGUUAUACUUUAUCUCAUGUGUGUGUUUGCGUGCACAUGUGUACACAUGUGCACCAUGUCAUACAUGUAGGGAUCAGAGGACAACCCGUGUGAAUCGGUUCUCUCCUUCCACUAUGCAGAUCUCAGGGAUUGAACUUGGGCCAUCAGGCUUCACAGUAGGCACCUUUACUGACUAAGCCAUCUUAUUGGCCCUAAAGUAGGUUUUGAAUAGCCACCCCAGUGGUUAUAUGUAAAGACAAAAAUAUAAUUAAAUGGAUAUUUUGGUAAGUAUAAGCAGUGCAUUUGGGGCACAAGACCAGGAGAGCUUCAGAGCCCUUUAUGUCUACAUACAGAAGUGUAUUAAGCCACAAGUUUUGAAAAC